This 448-nucleotide ribosomal RNA is filed under the name uncultured bacterium. RNAcentral's name for it is "partial 16S ribosomal RNA". It matches the Rfam family "Bacterial small subunit ribosomal RNA", at positions 330 to 792 of the family's 1533-position model. The record is from RNAcentral.
CCCAGACUCCUACGGGAGGCAGCAGUGGGGAAUAUUGGGCAAUGGAGGAAACUCUGACCCAGCAAUGCCGCGUGAAUGAAGAAGGUCUUCGGAUUGUAAAGUUCUUUAGUCAGGGAAGAAGUCAAUGACGGUACCUGAAGAAUAAGCUCCGGCUAACUACGUGCCAGCAGCCGCGGUAAUACGUAGGGGGCAAGCGUUAUCCGGAUUUACUGGGUGUAAAGGGGGCGCAGACGGCAGCGCAAGCCAGGAGUGAAAGCCCGGGGCCCAACCCCGGGACUGCUCUUGGAACUGCGCGGCUGGAGUGCAGGAGGGGCAGGCGGAAUUCCUGGUGUAGCGGUGAAAUGCGUAGAUAUCAGGAGGAACACCGGUGGCGAAGGCGGCCUGCUGGACUGCGACUGACGUUGAGGCCCGAAAGCGUGGGGAGCAAACAGGAUUAGAUACCCGCGUA